UACGUAGGGGGCAAGCGUUGUCCGGAAUUAUUGGGCGUAAAGAGCGUGUAGGCGGUCCGGUAAGUCAGCUGUGAAAGUCAAGGGCUCAACCCUUGAAAGCCGGUUGAUACUGUCGGGCUAGAGUGCGGAAGAGGCGAGUGGAAUUCCUGGUGUAGCGGUGAAAUGCGCAGAUAUCAGGAGGAACACCAAUUGCGAAGGCAGCUCGCUGGGACGUUACUGACGCUGAGACGCGAAAGCGUGGGGAGCAAACAGG
RNAcentral lists this ribosomal RNA (253 nucleotides) under uncultured bacterium. Its description in RNAcentral is "partial 16S ribosomal RNA". It matches the Rfam family "Bacterial small subunit ribosomal RNA", at positions 524 to 776 of the family's 1533-position model. The record is from RNAcentral.